GCCACCUGAAAAUCACCCUGACCAUGGCCGCGGGUGAGACUGGCGCCUACAGCCACCAGGGUUUCAGUUCAACCCUCUCCCCCCACCACCACGCUGCCUGGUGCGGGGGCGUGAAACCCAGGCCGGAACAGCU
Ochotona princeps (American pika) is the source of this 133-nucleotide small nucleolar RNA. Lineage: Eukaryota; Metazoa; Chordata; Mammalia; Lagomorpha; Ochotonidae. The record is from Ensembl.